This 303-nucleotide ribosomal RNA is filed under the name uncultured bacterium. RNAcentral's name for it is "bacterial SSU rRNA". It matches the Rfam family "Bacterial small subunit ribosomal RNA", at positions 196 to 481 of the family's 1533-position model. The record is from RNAcentral.
GGGUGGAAAUGGGGGACCCGCAAGCCCUCACGCAGCAGGAGCGGCCGAUGUCUGAUUAGCUAGUUGGUGGGGUAAAGGCCCACCAAGGCGACGAUCAGUAGCUGGUCUGAGAGGACGAUCAGCCACACUGGGACUGAGACACGGCCCAGACUCCUACGGGAGGCAGCAGUGGGGAAUUUUGGACAAUGGGGGCAACCCUGAUCCAGCAAUGCCGCGUGUGUGAAGAAGGCCUUCGGGUUGUAAAGCACUUUUGUCCGGAAAGAAAUCGCGCUGGUUAAUACCUGGCGUGGAUGACGGUACCGG